GAUCAUGGCUCAGAUUGAACGCUGGCGGCAGGCUUAACACACGCAAGUCGAACGGUAACAUAAAGAAGCUUGCUUCUUUGAUGACGAGUGGCGGACGGGUGAGUAAUGCUUGGGAAUCUAGCUUAUGGAGGGGGAUAACUACGGGAAACUGUAGCUAAUACCGCGUAAUAUCGGAAGAUUAAAGUGUGGGACCUUCGGGCCACAUGCCAUAGGAUGAGCCCAAGUGGGAUUAGGUAGUUGGUGAGG
RNAcentral lists this ribosomal RNA (246 nucleotides) under uncultured bacterium. RNAcentral describes it as "partial 16S ribosomal RNA". It matches the Rfam family "Bacterial small subunit ribosomal RNA", at positions 15 to 257 of the family's 1533-position model. The record is from RNAcentral.